RNAcentral lists this ribosomal RNA (253 nucleotides) under uncultured bacterium. RNAcentral's name for it is "partial 16S ribosomal RNA". It matches the Rfam family "Bacterial small subunit ribosomal RNA", at positions 524 to 776 of the family's 1533-position model. The record is from RNAcentral.
UACGCAGGGUGCAAGCGUUAUUCGGAAUUACUGGGCGUAAAGCGCGCGUAGGCGGCCCUGUAAGUCCGCUGUGAAAGUCAAAGGCUCAACCUUUGAAAGCCGGUGGAUACUGCAGGGCUAGAGUCCGGAAGAGGCGAGUGGAAUUCCUGGUGUAGCGGUGGAAUGCGCAAAUAUCAGGAGGAACACCAAUAGCGAAGGCAGCUCGCUGGGACGGUACUGACGCUAAGGCGCGAAAGCGUGGGGAGCGAACAGG